RNAcentral lists this long non-coding RNA (824 nucleotides) under Homo sapiens (human). RNAcentral describes it as "HSALNT0290531". The record is from RNAcentral. Lineage: Eukaryota; Metazoa; Chordata; Mammalia; Primates; Hominidae.
UGGAGUUGGUCCUGACUCGGGGGCCUGUCAGUCAUCGGCCAAGGGCCAGGCUUUGGGGUGUCGACUCCCACACAGCUCAGCUCCCUGAAGAUGUGGGCACGGUGGUGGUGGGGGCUGCUGAAGAGUUGCAGAUGCAGCCACUGGAGGGGAGGCUGAGGUCAGUAGCCAGGCUCACAGGGACGACAAUGGGAUGGGAAGCAACACCUGACGGGCUCAGCUACAGGUGCUGACGGAUUCACAGGCAGGUGGCAGAAGGCAGUCAAAUAAAUGAGACAAUACAGCGCCCUCCCUGCGACCACACACACCGCUCACGCCUGUGAGGACAUGGAAGCACAGGGAGGUUAUGCCACUCGCCCAAAGACAACUAAUCAGUGACAGCUGAGACUUGGACUGCAGAACCUACACUUUAUAACUAUUUUACAGUUCUGGGCGUCACGGAAUCUUGCAUGAAGAGCCCCUAACCUGGCCCGGGUGGAGGCUCUGCUUCCUCAGUGUCAGCAUCAUUCACAGCAGGCAUGUCCCUCCUGCCUCCAAGAGAGUCACCAGCAGCUUCCUCCUCCACAUCUAGAGAUAUUAUUCCCCCCAUUUCAUGGAGGAGGAAACUGACGAUCAGAGCAGCCAGGAAACAGGAUGGCGUUGUCUGCUGAGGGACGGUGUGUUCCCUGGAGAGGAGAUCCAGCUUGCCAUUGUGGGUUUCUUACAGCAAAAAUCCUGUGUGUACACAUAUGCUGAACAAGGCGCACACAGUCUUCAUACUUCUUUCCCCAAAUCCACUGUUGUACCUCACUCUGGAAACCAAAGAAUACAAAUGGAGAUGAGGCUAA